This 121-nucleotide small nucleolar RNA is filed under the name Echinops telfairi (small Madagascar hedgehog). RNAcentral's name for it is "Small nucleolar RNA SNORA61 (ENSETEG00000024464.1)". Lineage: Eukaryota; Metazoa; Chordata; Mammalia; Afrosoricida; Tenrecidae. The record is from RNAcentral.
AUUCCCCAGAUUCCUUACGCACCAGAUCUAAACACGGAUCUGAGUGGUUAUAAAAGAAGGAAAAGUAAAAUUGAAAUUGACUUCAAUCCUUUUGUGAUACAUGAGCUAGUUUCAAACAACU